GCCAGGCGUGGUGGUGUGCACCUGUAAUCCUAGCUACUUGGGAGGCUGAGGCAGGAGAAUUGCUUGAACCCGGGAGGCGGAGGUUGCAGUGAGCCAAGAUCCUGCCACUGCAUUCCAGCCUGGGUGACAGAGUGAGAUUCUGUCUCAA
Unclassified non-coding RNA from Pongo abelii (Sumatran orangutan), 148 nucleotides. It matches the Rfam family "Metazoan signal recognition particle RNA". Rfam says of the family: The signal recognition particle (SRP) is a universally conserved ribonucleoprotein. It is involved in the co-translational targeting of proteins to membranes. The record is from Ensembl. NCBI's taxonomy places the organism in Eukaryota, Metazoa, Chordata, Mammalia, Primates, Hominidae.